UCUUUCAUCACACGGGCUGCGGCUCAAAGUACACACUGCUCUGCUGGAUUCUAAGUCUCCAAACUCCUGAAUUUUACAGACUUGAAUUCACCCAACAGGCCCUGUGCAGUGACCUAGGUUAAGAGACACCCAUGGAGCCUGAACCUGUGGAGACUGCUGACUCUGGCGGAAGAAGAUGCUUCGCAAGAAGGUGGUGAAGUGUGAUGAUGCUCGUAGGGUGAUGCUGGCACAAGAGUUCCUGGACUGGGGAUGCCACCUUAGCUGGGAUUCUGAGCCUGCAAAGGAAUCAGCUUGCCCUGGGAGGACCUGUCUCUCUCCCGUCAGCAAGGCCCCCAAGAUGUCAAAGCAUCAAGAAAAUAAAACUAGAAUCCAGGUGAGAACGCUUCUCCCCACUCCCGUGGCACAGACUGCCCUGCCCUUGACCUGAACCGACCUGAAGGGCAGACAGCCUGCCCUUGCUGCUGCCUUCCAAGUCUCCAGCGCGUCCUCUCCGCUGCCUGCCUCCUCUCUCCCACGGCGGACACCGAGGCGCCCGGCCCGCAGCUUCACCUAACUGCCAGGCAUCUUGAGGUCCAGGGCAGCUGCCAGAUGACUGCAGCUCAUGAGUGACCCUGCGAGACCAUUCCAGCUGAGCCCAGCCCAAUUGCAGAAUCACCGGCAGAUAAACAACUGUAAAGCUUCUGAGUUUGGGGUUGUUUGUUAUGCCGCAGUAGGUAACUGACACAUCCACGAACUCUCAUCCUUCAUUGUGGUGGGUUACUGGGGUGGGUGGAGAACUAACUCCCUGACACUCCUGGCUGGCCCUGACACAGAUUCCUGUGGCCAGAGAAAGCCUGCGGUCAGAGAGAUGUCCCGUUGGAGGUAGGAUGGCCUCUCACUGUAGGGAACCUGUCCAUCCGAGUGGCAGGCAACUUCCAGAUAGGCCAAGGCGAUGGGACAGAGCUCCCGUAGCAUCUGCUACAGCACCUGGCUCUGAAAAUGAUCCAGGGAGCUGCCCUGCAAAUUCUGGAAGGCGUUCCUUCAGAAUUCAACUCCACAUCUACACUACACUACAAGUCUAGAGAAGAACACGCCUGAGCUAGCCUGCCGUCCCCGGGAGAAGGAUGAGAGACCUGGGGAACAGAGCCCUAGCUGAGCCGGCCCGGUACAGCCCAGCUCAUCCCAGAGCCCCAGCCAACCUGCUGUGAGGAGCUUGAUCAAUGCUUUCUGUUGUCCGUCACUGAGAAGCCGUAUGAGGCACGUGCUAAUUUUCUCAGCUAUGAAAUGUGGACGAUGAAGCUCGUCGAAGGUGAGUCACUUGCCAAAGUCUCAGACAGAGCUGGCAAACCAACCCCAGAGCCCCCUUAGCUUCAACUACCUUCCUCUUCGGUGGGGGCUCAGAGGAGGGGCUCCAGAGCAAGGCACGUUCUGAGAAGCCUUCAGGGUCAGGUGCAAUCAGCCUCAAAACCAGCUGGGUUGGUGGGUAGCAGGCAGGACACCUGACCAGGGUCAGGGCCCUGGGUUCCAGUCCCGCCUCUGCCACUAAGCAGCCUGGGAUCUAGAGAAGCCCCUCUCUGCUCCGUGCCUCGGUUUCCAAACCUGGGAUAAAGAAGGGGAUGGAUCUGUCUUCUGUGUUGACCUUGCAAAGUGCAGGGGUGACGUGUGCAGUUCCCGGGAGCACCUGGCAAUCGGAGAAGUGGGGUCCGCACUCUCCGUCCCCUCCCCUGGGUUGGGGUGGCCCUCCCCUGGUCCACCCAGGUCCCUGGUCUGGCCAGCUCAGUGUUGGGGGCACCAUGAGUAUGCAGCCAGCAACUCUGCCACGGACAUCGCCCCCAGCCCGCCUUCCUGGUUCUACAAAGGCCCUUGCUGAACGUUUGGCUGCUUCCAGGUAACGCUGUGAAAACCCUUCGAAAGACGAGGAGCUAAUUGACGCUCAUGGGGACAGGCAAUCAUUUACCCUUGUUAUGUCCGCAGCCUCUGUGUGGGCCACGCAGAGGGCGGUCCUCCUGUACUCUCUGCAGAGGGCAGAGCAAGGGCAGAGUGUCAUGGUUUUGCUGCCAUUGUCACCUCUGUUUGCUGAGCUCCUUUGCAGGCCUGGACUCAGUUUACCUCUUGGUGUAAUCACCUCUGCCUUCUCAGCUUCUCCAGGGGAACCAGGCCACGGGCUGUCUGUCUUCCCUGGCUCGAUUAUCGGGCCAAACCUGGGACGUGGGCUGCUGGGCUCACAGAUUAUCAUUAGCAGAGAGGUUUGACUGCCCGGAGACCAUAAUAAAUCAGUGUGCUGGAAUCAUCCUGAAACCAUCCCCGGUCCGCCCCCCGGUCUGUAGAAAAUUGUCUUCCACGAAACCGGUCCCUGGUACCAAAAAGGCUGGGGACUCCUGCUUUAUAGAAUGUAUUUUCUAAGGCACAUUUUACUUAGUUACUUUGCUUAUUGUCUGCCUCCCACACUAGAAUGUCAGGUUCACAGGGGUGGGGAUUUUUGUCUGGUUUGCUGACUGCUGCAUCCCCAGAGUCUAGAAUAGUGCCUGGCAGGUAGUAGGUGCGCAGUGAAUAUUCAUUGUAUUAGCGUGGCUCUGAAUCGAUUCAAUGAAUCCACGCAGCUCUGAAAAAAAAAAAAGGUAUUGAUGCUGGAGCCACUAAACUAAGGCACGCUGAAGAUGACUUAAUCUUUCUAAGCUGGAGAAUCGGGAGGAAUUUGGGCGUGCACAGAGGUCAAACUGCCGGCCAGUGUAGAUGCAAAAGGGGACAGUGACAUGGCGAGUCAGGACGACUGGGCAUUUCUAUCAGCCGCCAUUAGCACCUUGAGAAUGAUGUUUAUUUGGCCAGCAAUGGCCUUUGAUUGCCCCUGCCCCUCCAGCCCGGGCAGGGAGAGCCGCCCCUCCGGCCACCAGAUUGAAAAGAGGCUUGAAAGGCACUGCCAUCCCAGCGUCCAGCUUCCCUUCAUCAGUCCCAUUUCUCUGGCAGCCGGUUAGACCCCUCUUCCCUCUCCCCCAGCUCUCCUCUAAGCCUCUUCAUCUGACAGCUUCCAGGCUGUGAUUAGGGAAGGUACUCUUCCCACUGGCCACGAUGAAGUGCAGUCAGGACACAGAGGCAGUGCAUGAAAAUAGCUUCACGCUCACGCUCUGGGCUCUCCUUCAGAAGAAGAGAGGGAUAAGGCGAAAAAGGAGAAUAAGCGGAAUAAGGCAGAAAAUGGGUGACGCAGCAUCUCAGAGAGAACUCCAAAGUUUUCUGGUCCAUUCCCCUGCCCCACAGUCUUCCUUCCCCAGAGAGCUGUGGAGUUUUCAGAGAAAGGCUCCCCAGGCAACACUUUCCUUAAUAAAAUGGCCACCAUAGAACCAGGAGGUGGUGUUUCUCUAAGCGAGGUUUGCAGACCCCUGGUCUCAGAGCCAUCCAGAGUGUGUGCAAGUGUGCAGACUCCCGGGCCUCAUUCCCAGACCCACUGAAUCAUAACUCAUGGAGCAGGUGACCCGGAAUCUGCAUUGUAAUAUCGGCCUGUGGCUGGGGGGGUGGGGGCAGGGCCACCUCCAGGUGUGAUGGUUCAUGAGGAAGAGGUACAGGACUCAGCAUACCCCGGCUAUGAUUUUACUACAGUGGAAGGAAACAGAGCAAAAUUAGCAAAGGGAAAAGGAGCCUGGGGGGGUUGUCCAGAGGAAACAAGAUGCAAACUUCCAAGAGCCUCUCCCUGGAGUCCCUCAGGGCGAGCUGAUGCCCCCAGCACUGGGUUGUGAGAACACGUGUGAAAUGCUGUCUCCCAGAAGAGGUCCUCAGAGACUGGGUGCCCAGGGAUUGUACCAGGGGCUGGUCAUGCAGGAACCUUCUGCCUGGCAUGUUCCAAAGUUCCAGACUCCCAGAAGAAAAGCAGGGCUUCAGCCUAAAGCACGUUGUUUGCACGACAGGUCAGGUAAUGUGAGCUGCUCUUAUCAGCUGGAACCUUCUCCAAAACCAAGUUCCCAGAGGACAGCCAAGGCCACACCUGCAAGCAGGCCUUUCAAAGGACAGCAGUCUCAGGCCUACUAUGUGAAUGUUUGUCUGCACCACCCACUUCCUUCCAGAGGAUUCCUAGGCACUGUAAAUUACGAGACCCACUGGUCUGAUGGAUAAAGAACUGCCCCCGAGACACAUCUGUGCUGAAGGCCUGGGACCAGCAUUUCUCUGAGGGACUGUCCAAAGGAGAGCAGAGAACACUGUCUUGGAUCGGUCCCUCCUGGAGACUCUGCAGCAUAUUAGCGCCAUAAGGGCUCUGAGAAGACCUUCAGUAAAGGAAAAUUUCUUUACUGCGAGCCUGUAUGCUCGCAGACCUCCUUUGGGCAGAACACACGUCAGCAUCCUGCAGGACAGUCGACGGCAUUCUCUGGGUGGUUGCCAGGCCAGGAGGACCCAGACAAGUUGAUUGCCAGGUAUAUGUACCAAAGCCGGAUCCACCGACUCCCCAGGUCAGCAGCAGCUCAUCCUCGCCCUUGACCUCAGUCCACCCUGAGAGACGAUCUUUGAGGCUGGAGUUAUAGUCAUCAACUCCCAUUCCUCCAGCUGUUCUUUGGUUCCCAGGUGCCUGAAAGUCCCUAAAAGUGCUGCUUGAGCCGAAAUUCAGAGGGCAUGCUAAACCAGGUUAAUUUAGGGCCCACGGCAAUGAGCAGGUGUCCUCCCCACUGGGUUGGUUGGAUACAUGAGUUAAUUUUGUUCAAGCUCCAAGGGUCUUGGGGACUUUGGUGCUGAGGGUGUACAGAUGUGUUGAGGGAGGGGCCCAGCAUGGAAUGGGCUUCAGGGUCUGCAGGGACCUGAGGAAGGAGAGCUGCAUACUCAGCACUGCAAUUAAUGGAGCUAAUAAGGGUCCGAAGGUCAAUGCCAGCCAGGGCGCUUGGCAGGUGGGGCGGACAUCCCUUGGAAAACUCUACAUCGGCAUCCUGUGAGUCGGAGUGGAGAGCGUUUGGCAGGGGAGGGGUGCCCCAUGGCAAGGCUGGGCAGGGCAGUCCAGGGCAGCAGAGCAGGGAGAGGUGUCCUUCUGAGUGGCCCAAGCACGGGCAGGGACAAGAGCAGGGGUCUUGAAGCAGCCAGCACUGGGUGUGAACCUCGACCGAGACCUGAAUGAGCUGUGUGUCAUUGGGCAGCUUCCCUUGCCUCUCUGAGCCUCAGUUACCUCAUAUGCAAAUGGACACAAGAGUGACCACCCCCCAACUCAGAGUAAUGAAUGGCUUAACUUGGGUUAAGUGCCUAGAAAUAUCUAGCACGUAAAAUGUACUCCAUGAAUGCUACUUCUCUCCUCUCCUUUUAGAAAAGCUCAGAGACUGGCAGAAGCGUUUUUUCUUUUUAAACUUUUAAUUGCACUGUAACAUACACACGGAAAAGUGCAUACUCUUUUGUUUGUUUUUUAAUUUAAAAUUUAUUUCAACUCCUCUGGGGCUGGAAGUGUUACAAAACCUUAAAAUAAACCUAAAACGUCUUGCUUUUA
This is a long non-coding RNA of Aethalodelphis obliquidens (Pacific white-sided dolphin), 5425 nucleotides long. RefSeq lists it as uncharacterized. The record is from RefSeq and is a predicted model, not a curated record. Lineage: Eukaryota; Metazoa; Chordata; Mammalia; Artiodactyla; Delphinidae. The transcript is spliced from 10 exons.